RNAcentral lists this ribosomal RNA (497 nucleotides) under uncultured bacterium. RNAcentral's name for it is "partial 16S ribosomal RNA". It matches the Rfam family "Bacterial small subunit ribosomal RNA", at positions 28 to 507 of the family's 1533-position model. The record is from RNAcentral.
GAUGAACGCUGGCGGCGUGCCUAAUACAUGCAAGUCGAGCGAACGGACGUGAAGCUUGCUUCUCUGAUGUUAGCGGCGGACGGGUGAGUAACACGUGGAUAACCUACCUAUAAGACUGGGAUAACUUCGGGAAACCGGAGCUAAUACCGGAUAAUAUUUUGAACCGCAUGGUUCAAAAGUGAAAGACGGUCUUGCUGUCACUUAUAGAUGGAUCCGCGCUGCAUUAGCUAGUUGGUAAGGUAACGGCUUACCAAGGCAACGAUGCAUAGCCGACCUGAGAGGGUGAUCGGCCACACUGGAACUGAGACACGGUCCAGACUCCUACGGGAGGCAGCAGUAGGGAAUCUUCCGCAAUGGGCGAAAGCCUGACGGAGCAGCGCCGCGUGAGUGAUGAAGGUCUUCGGAUCGUAAAACUCUGUUAUUAGGGAAGAACAUAUGUGUAAGUAACUGUGCACAUCUUGACGGUACCUAAUCAGAAAGCCACGGCUAACUACGUG